Molecule: long non-coding RNA, 475 nt
Filed under: Phoenix dactylifera (date palm)
Lineage: Eukaryota; Viridiplantae; Streptophyta; Magnoliopsida; Arecales; Arecaceae
Description: long non-coding RNA (PDAC_LNC012988)
Source: RNAcentral
UUCAAUAAUACCAAAAAAAAAUUUAUGCAGUAUUUCAAACAUUCAAUCAAAUUAUCCAACCAUGAAGCAUUACAAAAUAUUGAGAACCCAUAAUUCAAAACAUCAUGCCACAUGCAUAAUAUAUUAUGUGUUAAGUCAUGCANNNNNNNNNNNNNNNNNNNNNUGUCAAGGAUCAAAAUCAAUUCUUUUCAAAUAAACUCUCCCUAUAUAAUUUUGCACUGAUUUCAUCCUUAAAGUGUGUUUUCAAGUGAUUAAAAAUUUGACUUAAUUCUUCUUAUAUACUUUCAUUUACUUUGUCUUUCAUUUUUAACUUUCUUAUGCUCUAUACUCUAUUUGCUCCCUAUCCGGUGGAGUUGGGAAGGGGCACGAGGUACUACCACUAGCCUCCCUCUUGUGCCGUCCCUAAUAUACCCUACACCGAAUAGUUGGGUCAAAUAGUGCCGGGUACUGCCACUAGCCUCCCCAUUGGCACCAU